This 254-nucleotide ribosomal RNA is filed under the name uncultured bacterium. Its description in RNAcentral is "partial 16S ribosomal RNA". It matches the Rfam family "Bacterial small subunit ribosomal RNA", at positions 524 to 776 of the family's 1533-position model. The record is from RNAcentral.
UACGGAGGGGGCAAGCGUUGUUCGGAAUUACUGGGCGUAAAGCGUGCGCAGGCGGUCUGUUAAGACCGAUGUGAAAUCCCCGGGCUUAACCUGGGAACUGCAUUGGUGACUGGCAGGCUUUGAGUGUGGCAGAGGGAGGUAGAAUUCCACGUGUAGCAGUGAAAUGCGUAGAGAUGUGGAGGAAUACCGAUGGCGAAGGCAGCCUCCUGGGCCAACACUGACGCUCAUGCACGAAAGCGUGGGGAGCAAACAGG